GGGCAAAGCCUGACGCAGCGACGCCGCGUGGGGGAAGAAGGCCUUCGGGUUGUAAACCUCUUUUCUUGGUGAAGAGAAAGGACGGUAACCAAGGAAUAAGCCUCGGCUAACUACGUGCCAGCAGCCGCGGUAAUACGUAGGAGGCGAGCGUUAUCCGGAUUUACUGGGCGUAAAGGGCGUGUAGAUGGCUUCUUAAGUCAGCUGUGAAAUCUCCUGGCUCAACUGGGAGAGGUCAGUUGAUACUGAGGAGCUUGAGGGCAGCAGAGGAAGAUGGAAUUCCCGGUGUAGUGGUGAAAUGCGUAGAUAUCGGGAGGAACACCAGUGGCGAAGGCGGUCUUCUGGGCUGUUUCUGACAUUGAGGCGCGAAAGCGUGGGGAGUGAAGCGGAUCAGAUACCCGCGUAAUCCACGCUAUAAACGGUGGAUACUANGUAUGGGGGGUAUCGACNCUCUCCGUGCCGCCAGCUAACGUUGUAAGUAUCCCGCCUGGGGACUACGGCCCGCUANGUUAAANCUCAAANAAAUUGGACNNA
RNAcentral lists this ribosomal RNA (531 nucleotides) under uncultured bacterium. RNAcentral describes it as "bacterial SSU rRNA". It matches the Rfam family "Bacterial small subunit ribosomal RNA", at positions 373 to 918 of the family's 1533-position model. The record is from RNAcentral.